UAACCUGAGGUACCACUGUGUAUAUGUGUGUGUGUGUACACACACACACACACACACACACACACACACAGUGGUACCUCGGGAUG
This 86-nucleotide microRNA precursor is filed under the name Podarcis lilfordi (Lilford's wall lizard). Lineage: Eukaryota; Metazoa; Chordata; Lepidosauria; Squamata; Lacertidae. The record is from RNAcentral.